RNA transcript from Sus scrofa (pig), 2941 nucleotides. It is a transcript of the gene named tubulin epsilon 1, with no coding region annotated. The record is from RefSeq and is a predicted model, not a curated record. NCBI's taxonomy places the organism in Eukaryota, Metazoa, Chordata, Mammalia, Artiodactyla, Suidae.
GACUUGCGGCAGCGGCGUGACUUACGGCUGCCCCGCCCCCUCAGAGAGCGCUGUUAAUGGGCGGGAAAUACGGAGGCUGGCGCCCUCUCUUUAUGCUGUGAGCCGGUGGCACCUCAGCAUGACCCAGUCGGUGGUUGUGCAGGUCGGCCAGUGCGGAAACCAGAUAGGCUGCUGCUUCUGGGACCUGGCGCUGAGGGAGCAUGCCGCGGUCAACCAGAAAGCAAUUUAUGAUGAGGCAAUAAGCAGCUUCUUUAGAAAUGUGGAUACCAGAGUGGCUGAUGGUGGCAGUAUUUCCAGGGGGAAAAUUUGUUCUUUAAAAGCACGAGCUGUCUUGAUUGACAUGGAGGAAGGAGUAGUAAAUGAAAUUCUUCAGGGACCAUUGAGAGAUGUAUUUGAUAGUAAACAGCUCAUCACUGAUAUUUCUGGCUCAGGGAAUAAUUGGGCUGUGGGUCACAAAGUGUUUGGCAGUCUUUAUCAGGAAAAGAUUUUAGAGAAACUCAGAAAGUCAGCAGAGCACUGUGAUUGUUUGCAGUGUUUUUUUAUCAUACAUUCCAUGGGAGGAGGAACAGGAUCUGGACUUGGCACAUUUCUUUUAAAGGUGCUUGAGGAUGAAUUCCCAGAAGUAUACAGAUUUGUGACUUCAGUUUAUCCUUCUGGUGAGGAUGAUGUCAUAACCUCACCUUAUAAUAGCAUCUUGGCAAUGAAGGAACUUAAUGAGCAUGCAGACUGCGUGUUACCCAUUGACAACCAAUCUUUAUUUGACAUCAUUAGCAAACUUAACCUCAUGGUGAAUUCUGGAAAGUUGGGUACAGCUAUAAAGCCAAAGAGCCUGGUUACUUCAAGUGCUGGGGCUUUUAAAAAACGACAGGAGAAGCCCUUUGAUGCAAUGAACAACAUUGUGGCAAAUUUGCUGCUCAACCUAACCAGCUCUGCAAGGUUUGAAGGAUCCCUUAAUAUGGACCUUAAUGAAAUCAGCAUGAAUUUAGUUCCUUUUCCUCAACUGCAUUAUCUUGUGUCUAGCCUAACACCUCUGUAUACACUGGCAGAUGUUAACAUUCCUCCUCGAAGGUUGGAUCAGAUGUUUUCAGAUGCCUUUAGUAAAGAUCACCAACUAAUUCAAGCUGACCCCAAACAUAGUCUCUACCUCGCCUGUGCCCUCAUGGUUAGAGGAAAUGUACAGAUUUCUGAUCUUCGCAGAAAUAUUGAAAGUUUGUCUCCUGGAAUCAAGAAGGCUGGAAGACCAGUCUGUGUUCAGUACCUCCUGUGGGCCAUUCCCAUUCCUUAUUAGCUUUAGCAAACAACACAUGUGUGAAGCCUACCUUCAUAGAACUGAAAGCACGAUUCAGGAGGCUCUACAAGAAAAAGGCUCAUCUUCAUCACUAUCUACAAAUUGAAGGGAUGGAGGAAAGCUGUUUCACAGAAGCCAUGUCAUCUUUAUCAACACUCAUAGAGGAAUAUAACCAACUGGAUGCCACAAAAUGCAUGCCUACAGAAGAUGUACCUAGACUAAGUGUAGCUAUAUAAAAAAGAAAUCCCAAAGAUACAACUUUCUUUUCUUAAUUUCACAUUUUUCAUCCCCUCUCUGUUUCAUAAUUUUUGUGAUUCAGAAAGCCUAAUGUAUGUUUUUACUAUUGGGAAGUAUAUUUAUCUAAAAGAGUGGUUUCCAUUUAAUCACAAUUUGUUGGUGCUACCUCUGUGUGAAAUUAGCCAAGUCUGAGUAACUUAACUUCAAACAUUUGUCUUCCACAAAGUCCUGUUUUCUAAAAUUGAAAGAACAGAGUUCUUCAACAUUUUACUUUGUUUAUAGUCUUAUAUUUAUGCAUUUAUACAAAGAUAAUCAUGUCUUAGGUAAAAAUCUUAUGCAGAUAUAUUUUUAUAUGUAUGCGUAAUUUAUGUUUUCAUAUUCUGUUUAGACUUUUAUUCUACUCCCAUAUAUACUUUUAAAGAGUCAGAAAAGAAUAUAAAUAUUUCUGUGUAAUAUCCACUAACUUUUCACAAUAGUCUUUUUGGGGUUUUUCUGGCCAUGCCUACAGGGCCAGGAUUGAACCUGCACCACAGCAGCAACCUAAGUUGCUGCAGUGACAACACUGGAUUCUUAACCUGUUGUGCCAUCAGAGCACUCUAGGAAUAGAUUUUAUUACAACUCUUAAGGAGGGUUUCUUUCUUUUGUGGGCAACCACUUCUUUGCACUCCAAAGAAACAAUUUACACUUAUUUUAACUCAUGUAUGUAUUAAGUUAUUUCUAAAUAUAAUGCUUUUUUAAUCAAACUGGUUGAUUUUGUAAUAAUGCCCAUAUUUUUAAACUAUGCAACUUAACAGUUUUGCUUGUCACUAUUCAUAAGUGAAUAGAACAUUAUUACUGAGCUUGAUAGUUUCUUUCAAACUUUGCAGCAAAUGAGUAUAAUAGUCUAAUGAAAGUAUUCCAUUUACUAUAAAUCUCCAGUUUUAGUCUUCAGCAUUUAUUUUUAAUCACAAUUUAUAUUUAAAAUGCAUAUCAUUUAAGGAAUUUUUAGGAACAAUUUAUUUUCAAGCCGAAAAAAUUGUCACGUGCUUUAAUGUUUUUUUUUUUGUUUUGUUUUUAAGUUUCUUUCCUUUUCAGAGUAAAGAUACUGCUCAUGGUCAUUAUUUUCGAAAUCCAAUUUUUUACAGUAUUUGGUAUAAAAAAAUUAGAUUACAGUUGUCAACAGUGACCAAAGAAAGUUACACUUUCUCCUUCCAAAAGAAAUCUUAAUAAACAAUAUUUAGGAUAGGGUAAUUUAGAGCUUAAUCUUACUCCUAUUUAAGAUUUAAACUAGAAUCUUGCUCCCCCUAUAAUGAUUAUCAUGUGAUUGGAACCUAGGCUAUUUGUCAAAGUACAGAUAAAGUUUUAAAAAUUUAAUAUACUUCUUUAUACCUUUACCAAAUUAUUCCAUAUUAGAAUAAAAUGUUCUCAUAAAUUGUU